UAUAUACAGAAGAUCAUGUUAGCAAACAUUAAGUAAAUAUUUCAACAGUUUGUUCCAACACAGAAACAUAAAGUGAAAAAUACUGUUUUGAGUAAGUAGUUAUAGCAUUAAAUCUCAAGGUACAGCACUCUAAGGACAUUUUUUGUGACCCCUAAACCUGCUCUAAAAAGAACAGUCUUUUAAAGAGGAGGAGGAGGAGGAGGAGAAAGGAAAGGAGAAGGAGUGUGAGGGAGAGUAGUAGUAGUAGUAAUAUGUUAAUAUUUCUCAAGGCGUAAUUUCAGAGAGUUGAUGCCAAUGCACCUGACCACUUUCACCCCUCCCCCUUAGCAGACUAAUCAAUUGCUUCUUUCUAUGUGUUCCUAUUGGGUAUAUAUCCUAUGUAUUUUAUAGUUUAUAUCACAUUUUAUUAAAGUUAUUUUCAGGUCUCACUUCCUGACUAUGAAUUGCUCAAGGGCAGAGGUAGUGUUUUAUUUUGUUGAUAUUUCUACAGUACUGGAAAUACCAUAUGGUUGAGUGGAUAAUUAUUUGCUGUGUAAACGUAUGAAGGACAUCCUUCAGCCAUUUUCAAAGGUAGUUUUAAAGGAUCUUGCUUCAGAAUCUGUUCUUCUUCAGGCUUUAGAGGACUGUGAAAAUAGCUUCCUCCAAGUGGUUCAUCCCAAGAACAGUGGUCAACACAAGAGUGAGACAGCAUUGAAGAAUAUUCCCGGGAAAUUCAGAACAUCUGAGAAUUCUAAAAAAGGCAAUCUAAUGAAGAAAGAAGGUAAUAUGCAUGAGUAUCUGGGGGUGCUAGAAUGGAAGAGGCAGCCAGGAAUGAAGAGCUCCUUCAUUUUGUGAGGAAUAUUUUAGAUGUAAGUACCAGCAUGUAUAACUCAGUGAUAAAGAGCUGUUGACUUGGGUAUCUGAAAAAGCCUAGGAGUAAUAAUGACCUUGGGCAGCAGGAGUUAUUCUGGCCUGAUGAUGCCAUCAGGAUUCAUUUUUUAGCAUUCAUUGGCUCUAUCUUUAGACUAGCUUCACUGUAAGCCUUUGUGACUAGCAGAUUCAUAGUUAUUUCCUUCAAGCUUCAACCCAGGUAAAAAUGUGUUGCCUCUUUCUUUAGUUCCUUUAAAUAGACCUAUGUAGGCUCACAUACACAUUUCUAACCAUGGAUAAUCUUUUUAGACAAAUUUCAGUUUCAUAGCAUUCUUAAAUAAGAGUAUUAGGAAAAGACAACUCUACUUGUACAUGAUCUGAAACUGAGAAUGGAGUUAAUUACCUGAAGGGCAAUACAGGGAAUAUUUACAAAAGGUCAGUGAGGGCUGGGCAACCAAAUGUAAACAAAACAGAUAUUUUCUGGGUGCUCUCUCACUGUUCCACUUCUAUGUUCUUGUCCAGUAUAAUGACAUUGAAGCCUAUAGUUGCAGGAAGAAUCCUGAUCAUGUGAAACUUUUGGGAGAGAAAAUAUAUUGAGAGGGACUUAUGGAUUUGAAGUGGAGAGAAUCAAUUGGAGGCCCCCUCAACCAGGUAGACAGACCAUCUAAUAACCUGGCCUCUCUUUGUCUACUCCUCACUUUAGAGCAUUUAGCCUCCAUUCCAGUUUAGUUACCCUAAUGAUCUAGAAAUUAUCAACAGGUAUGUCUGCCUUCUAAAGAAAUUCAGUUUGACACUCUACCCAUACCUUCUAGUCUAUGCUCUCCUGUGCCAGUGAUAAGUCUAAUCAGGAACUAUAAGCCACUUAAAAUUUUCUCCCUGGCAAUCCAACAACCUUUUAUCUUAAUUUCCUCCCCUUCAAAGAUAAUUUUAUUUUUUUAACUUUUAUUUAAUGAAUAUAAAUUUCCAAAGUACAGCUUAU
RNAcentral lists this long non-coding RNA (1828 nucleotides) under Oryctolagus cuniculus (rabbit). Its description in RNAcentral is "lncRNA (ENSOCUG00000036978.1)". Lineage: Eukaryota; Metazoa; Chordata; Mammalia; Lagomorpha; Leporidae. The record is from RNAcentral.